RNAcentral lists this ribosomal RNA (500 nucleotides) under uncultured bacterium. RNAcentral's name for it is "partial 16S ribosomal RNA". It matches the Rfam family "Bacterial small subunit ribosomal RNA", at positions 30 to 523 of the family's 1533-position model. The record is from RNAcentral.
AUUGAACGCUGGCGGCAGGCCUAACACAUGCAAGUCGAGCGGAUGAGUGGAGCUUGCUCCAUGAUUCAGCGGCGGACGGGUGAGUAAUGCCUAGGAAUCUGCCUGGUAGUGGGGGACAACGUUUCGAAAGGAACGCUAAUACCGCAUACGUCCUACGGGAGAAAGUGGGGGAUCUUCGGACCUCACGCUAUCAGAUGAGCCUAGGUGGGAUUAGCUAGUUGGUGAGGUAAAGGCUCACCAAGGCGACGAUCCGUAACUGGUCUGAGAGGAUGAUCAGUCACACGGGAACUGAGACCCGGUCCAGACUCCUACGGGAGGCAGCAGUGGGGAAUAUUGGACAAUGGGCGAAAGCCUGAUCCAGCCAUGCCGCGUGUGUGAAGAAGGUCUUCGGAUUGUAAAGCACUUUAAGUUGGGAGGAAGGGCAGUAAGUUAAUACCUUGCUGUUUUGACGUUACCAACAGAAUAAGCACCGGCUAACUUCGUGCCAGCCGCCGCAGUAA